This is a long non-coding RNA of Odocoileus virginianus texanus, 761 nucleotides long. RefSeq lists it as uncharacterized. NCBI's taxonomy places the organism in Eukaryota, Metazoa, Chordata, Mammalia, Artiodactyla, Cervidae. The record is from RefSeq and is a predicted model, not a curated record.
GAAGGAUUCAGCUAAUAGUUGGGGAGAGUGGUGGUUGUCAAGCUCAGAGUGAGGCAAGAGGCAGAUCCUGGACUUCUCCUCGGGGCCCUCCAAAGCUCAUGGGCCCUCAGGCCAGCCGAGGGACCAGACUGAGACCUCUGUCCUGCGGGGCUCCUGAGCCCUCGCCAGGGGCACCCACUGGCCAUAGCCCAGGCCUUGAGGCAGUGAACCUCUCCCUCAACCCUGUGUCUGCAGCUUAACGGCAGCGGCCUUCUACCUGGGAUGCAGUCUGAGGAACUUGCCCUUCCCCUCCCCCACCCCGUCGCUCCCUCCGCGUUGACGACGGCAGAGUCUGGGGAGCUUGGCCCUGAGGGGGCCGCCAGCUGACAUCUGCCUCCUCUUAGCCAGAACCUUGACCUCAAAGGGAAGAAGUUGUGCCCAGGAUCUUUGCCCUUCAGAGAAUAACACGGUUUGGUAGAGAUUUACAGGAAGAUCAUGAUCUGACCGUGACCUUGUUACUGAGCCCAAGCUCAUGCUGCUCGCCACAUGACAGAAACCCUGAUGCAUAAAGUCAUAAGGACCUGGAAGGACCCUGUGGAAAAAGUCUGCCACCUUAUUGACCAGGAUACAUGAAGGUAUUCCAGAGGAAAUAUGGACUGUCACUGCUCCAAGAAGGAUCCACUCAGGUCAACACUGAUUACUCAUGGAUAUCAAAGUAACAAAAAUUCAGUUGGAUCUGUGCUUCCCAUGGGAAGCAUUUCCAUAAACAUCUUCAAACUUAA